RNAcentral lists this ribosomal RNA (551 nucleotides) under uncultured Glomeromycotina. RNAcentral describes it as "SSU rRNA". It matches the Rfam family "Eukaryotic small subunit ribosomal RNA", at positions 548 to 1098 of the family's 1831-position model. Lineage: Eukaryota; Fungi; Glomeromycota. The record is from RNAcentral.
UUGGAGGGCAAGUCUGGUGCCAGCAGCCGCGGUAAUUCCAGCUCCAAUAGCGUAUAUUAAAGUUGUUGCAGUUAAAAAGCUCGUAGUUGAAUUUCGGAAUCUGUCCUUCGGUCGGGCUUCACUGUUCGUACUGGUGUGGUGGGUUCUUACCUUCUGAAUAACCAGCAUGCCAUUAAUUUGGUGCGUUGGGGAAGCAGGACUAUUACCUUGAAAAAAUUAGAGUGCUCAAAGCAGGCCAGUGCCUGAAUACAUUAGCAUGGAAUAAUAAAAUAGGACGGCAUGGUUCUAUUUUGUUGGUUUCUAGGAUCACCGUAAUGAUUAAUAGGGAUAGUUGGGGGCAUUAGUAUUCAAUUGUCAGAGGUGAAAUUCUUGGAUUUAUUGAAGACUAACUUCUGCGAAAGCAUUUGCCAAGGAUGUUUUCAUUAAUCAAGAACGAAAGUUAGGGGAUCGAAGACGAUCAGAUACCGUCGUAGUCUUAACCAUAAACUAUGCCGACUAGGGAUCGGACGAUGUUAAUUUUUUAAUGACUCGUUCGGCGCCUUACGGGAAAC